Molecule: transfer RNA, 72 nt
Filed under: Trichobilharzia regenti
Lineage: Eukaryota; Metazoa; Platyhelminthes; Trematoda; Strigeidida; Schistosomatidae
Rfam family: tRNA
About the family: Transfer RNA (tRNA) molecules are approximately 80 nucleotides in length. Their secondary structure includes four short double-helical elements and three loops (D, anti-codon, and T loops). Further hydrogen bonds mediate the characteristic L-shaped molecular structure. tRNAs have two regions of fundamental functional importance: the anti-codon, which is responsible for specific mRNA codon recognition, and the 3' end, to which the tRNAs corresponding amino acid is attached (by aminoacyl-tRNA synthetases). tRNAs cope with the degeneracy of the genetic code in two manners: having more than one tRNA (with a specific anti-codon) for a particular amino acid; and 'wobble' base-pairing, i.e. permitting non-standard base-pairing at the 3rd anti-codon position.
Source: Rfam by way of RNAcentral
GCGUCGGUGGCACAGCGGUAGAGUGUUCGCCUACCACGCAUGUGGUCCGGGGUUCGAUCCUCGGCCGACGCC